RNAcentral lists this small RNA (92 nucleotides) under uncultured Halorhodospira sp. RNAcentral describes it as "t44 RNA". It matches the Rfam family "t44 RNA". Rfam says of the family: This family consists of a number of bacterial RNA genes of between 135 and 170 bases in length. The t44 gene is found between the map and rpsB genes in all species in the full alignment apart from Shigella flexneri. The record is from RNAcentral. Lineage: Bacteria; Pseudomonadati; Pseudomonadota; Gammaproteobacteria; Chromatiales; Ectothiorhodospiraceae.
UUUCCAAUCCACACAUGCACCGACACAUACGGCCGGGUGCCCGACGCGGAUUGGCGCUCGGGUUGCCGUAUGCGGGUGUAUGGAGGCUCAAC